Molecule: non-coding RNA, 92 nt
Organism: Mycena vulgaris
Lineage: Eukaryota; Fungi; Basidiomycota; Agaricomycetes; Agaricales; Mycenaceae
Source: the annotation of a GenBank genome assembly
GCAUCGGUGGUGUAUGGAACACACACCUACCUCUUAUCGAAGUGUGAAAUAAACUCGACGGGUGAAACGGGGUUCGAUUCCCCGGCGGUGCA